GCCCCCGUGGCCUAAUGGCCAAGGCGCAAGAGUGAGCCAAAAGAAACCCUCCAAGUUUCACAAUCAGCGACACUAACAACCACCUUAGCUUCUAUUAGUAAAUCUUGAGAUUGCGGGUUCGAUCCCCGCCGGGGGUU
Molecule: transfer RNA, 137 nt
Filed under: Coniochaeta sp. 2T2.1
Lineage: Eukaryota; Fungi; Ascomycota; Sordariomycetes; Coniochaetales; Coniochaetaceae
Description: tRNA-Leu
Rfam family: tRNA
About the family: Transfer RNA (tRNA) molecules are approximately 80 nucleotides in length. Their secondary structure includes four short double-helical elements and three loops (D, anti-codon, and T loops). Further hydrogen bonds mediate the characteristic L-shaped molecular structure. tRNAs have two regions of fundamental functional importance: the anti-codon, which is responsible for specific mRNA codon recognition, and the 3' end, to which the tRNAs corresponding amino acid is attached (by aminoacyl-tRNA synthetases). tRNAs cope with the degeneracy of the genetic code in two manners: having more than one tRNA (with a specific anti-codon) for a particular amino acid; and 'wobble' base-pairing, i.e. permitting non-standard base-pairing at the 3rd anti-codon position.
Source: RNAcentral